UCCCUUGUGGCUCAGAGGAUAAAGCACCUGCCUGCCAUGCAGGAGACCCAGGUUUCAUCCUUGGGUUGGGAA
RNAcentral lists this transfer RNA (72 nucleotides) under Bos taurus (domestic cattle). It matches the Rfam family "tRNA". From Rfam's summary of the family: Transfer RNA (tRNA) molecules are approximately 80 nucleotides in length. Their secondary structure includes four short double-helical elements and three loops (D, anti-codon, and T loops). RNAcentral also lists the same sequence under 2 other names. The record is from Rfam by way of RNAcentral. Lineage: Eukaryota; Metazoa; Chordata; Mammalia; Artiodactyla; Bovidae.